AAGGUACUAGUAAAAACAUUACCCUGCCUUGUCGAGACAGAAUUGUAGGUUAAACCCCUGCGUACCUUA
Molecule: transfer RNA, 69 nt
Filed under: Arius arius (threadfin sea catfish)
Lineage: Eukaryota; Metazoa; Chordata; Actinopteri; Siluriformes; Ariidae
Also listed under: 3 other names
Description: tRNA-Asp
Source: RNAcentral